This 200-nucleotide unclassified non-coding RNA is filed under the name soil metagenome. RNAcentral's name for it is "partial contains internal transcribed spacer 2 and large subunit ribosomal RNA". The record is from RNAcentral.
GACUCAAUCCCUCGGGUUUCCGAGGAGAUUGGACUUGGGUGUUGCCGCUUCUGCCGGCUCACCUUAAAAGACUUAGCGGGAUAGCACCGUAGUCGGCGUAAUAAGUUUCGUCGGUGAAGGUUGUGAUGACUGCUUACAAUCGCCCUCGGGCAAUUUUUGACUCUGACCUCAAAUCAGGUAGGACUACCCGCUGAACUUAA